This 510-nucleotide ribosomal RNA is filed under the name uncultured bacterium. RNAcentral describes it as "bacterial SSU rRNA". It matches the Rfam family "Bacterial small subunit ribosomal RNA", at positions 10 to 507 of the family's 1533-position model. The record is from RNAcentral.
AGUUGAUCAUGGCUCAGAACGAACGCUGGCGGCGGGCCUCAUACAUGCAAGUCGAGCGCGAAAGUCCGCAAGGAUGAGUAAAGCGGCGCACGGGUGAGUAACACGUGGGUAAUCUACCUUUGGAUUGGAAUAACCUGUCGAAAGACGGGCUAAUGCCGAGUAAGCCUUCUUGAACGUGAAGUUCGAGACGGGAAAGAUGGCGCAAGCUAUCGCCGAAAGAUGAGCCUGCGUCCCAUUAGUUAGUUGGUGGGGUAAUGGCUUACCAAGACAAUGAUGGGUACCUGGUUUGAGAGAAUGAUCAGGCACACUGGAACUGAAACACGGUCCAGACUCCUACGGGAGGCAGCAGUAGGGAAUAUUGCGCAAUGGACGAAAGUCUGACGCAGCCACGCCGCGUGAGUGAGGAAGGCCUUCGGGUUGUAAAGCUCUGUCGGCUGGGAAAAACGGCUAUCCGGGGAAAGUUCGGGUAGCGUGAUGGUACCAGCAAAGGAAGCACCGGCAAACUCUGUG